This 162-nucleotide small RNA is filed under the name Chrysemys picta bellii (western painted turtle). Its description in RNAcentral is "TUC338 (ENSCPBG00000002264.1)". The record is from RNAcentral. Lineage: Eukaryota; Metazoa; Chordata; Testudines; Emydidae.
AAGAUGUCCUUGGAGAUCAAAGUCCACUAGUUAUGAACAGAGCAGGUAGCAGUGCAAGAUUCCCUCGUUUCCUGCUCCACCAACAUGCCUCAACUCUGAUCUGGAGAGACCAAUUCUGUGGGCAAACGGAGAGUUCUGCUAACCCAUCUACUCUUGGCCUAU